RNAcentral lists this ribosomal RNA (495 nucleotides) under uncultured bacterium. RNAcentral's name for it is "partial 16S ribosomal RNA". It matches the Rfam family "Bacterial small subunit ribosomal RNA", at positions 28 to 505 of the family's 1533-position model. The record is from RNAcentral.
GAUGAACGCUGGCGGCGUGCCUAAUACAUGCAAGUCGAGCGAACGGACGAGAAGCUUGCUUCUCUGAUGUUAGCGGCGGACGGGUGAGUAACACGUGGAUAACCUACCUAUAAGACUGGGAUAACUUCGGGAAACCGGAGCUAAUACCGGAUGAUAUUUUGAACCGCAUGGUUCAAAAGUGAAAGACGGUCUUGCUGUCACUUAUAGAUGGAUCCGCGCUGCAUUAGCUAGUUGGUAAGGUAACGGCUUACCAAGGCAACGAUGCAUAGCCGACCUGAGAGGGUGAUCGGCCACACUGGAACUGAGACACGGUCCAGACUCCUACGGGAGGCAGCAGUAGGGAAUCUUCCGCAAUGGGCGAAAGCCUGACGGAGCAACGCCGCGUGAGUGAUGAAGGUCUUCGGAUCGUAAAACUCUGUUAGUAGGGAAGAACAUAUGUGUAAGUAACUGUGCACAUCUUGACGGUACCUAAUCAGAAAGCCACGGCUAACUACG